RNAcentral lists this ribosomal RNA (596 nucleotides) under uncultured bacterium. RNAcentral's name for it is "bacterial SSU rRNA". It matches the Rfam family "Bacterial small subunit ribosomal RNA", at positions 112 to 704 of the family's 1533-position model. The record is from RNAcentral.
AAUACAUCGGAACGUGCCUAGUAGUGGGGGAUAACUACUCGAAAGAGUGGCUAAUACCGCAUGAGAUCUACGGAUGAAAGCAGGGGAUCGCAAGACCUUGUGCUACUAGAGCGGCCGAUGGCAGAUUAGGUAGUUGGUGGGAUAAAAGCUUACCAAGCCGACGAUCUGUAGCUGGUCUGAGAGGACGAUCAGCCACACUGGGACUGAGACACGGCCCAGACUCCUACGGGAGGCAGCAGUGGGGAAUUUUGGACAAUGGGCGCAAGCCUGAUCCAGCAAUGCCGCGUGCAGGAUGAAGGCCUUCGGGUUGUAAACUGCUUUUGUACGGAACGAAAAGCCCUGGGUUAAUACCCUGGGGUCAUGACGGUACCGUAAGAAUAAGCACCGGCUAACUACGUGCCAGCAGCCGCGGUAAUACGUAGGGUGCGAGCGUUAAUCGGAAUUACUGGGCGUAAAGCGUGCGCAGGCGGUUUUGUAAGACAGGGGUGAAAUCCCCGGGCUCAACCUGGGAACUGCCUUUGUGACUGCAAGGCUAGAGUACGGCAGAGGGGGAUGGAAUUCCGCGUGUAGCAGUGAAAUGCGUAGAUAUGCGGAGG